GAUGAACGCUGGCGGCGUGCCUAAUACAUGCAAGUUGAGCGAACGGACGAGAAGCUUGCUUCUCUGAUGUUAGCGGCGGACGGGUGAGUAACACGUGGAUAACCUACCUAUAAGACUGGGAUAACUUCGGGAAACCGGAGCUAAUACCGGAUAAUAUUUUGAACCGCAUGGUUCAAAAGUGAAAGACGGUCUUGCUGUCACUUAUAGAUGGAUCCGCGCUGCAUUAGCUAGUUGGUAAGGUAACGGCUUACCAAGGCAACGAUGCAUAGCCGACCUGAGAGGGUGAUCGGCCACACUGGAACUGAGACACGGUCCAGACUCCUACGGGAGGCAGCAGUAGGGAAUCUUCCGCAAUGGGCGAAAGCAUGACGGAGCAACGCCGCGUGAGUGAUGAAGGUCUUCGGAUCGUAAAACUCUGUUAUUAGGGAAGAACAUAUGUGUAAGUAACUGUGCACAUCUUGACGGUACCUAAUCAGAAAGCCACGGCUAACUACGUG
This 497-nucleotide ribosomal RNA is filed under the name uncultured bacterium. RNAcentral describes it as "partial 16S ribosomal RNA". It matches the Rfam family "Bacterial small subunit ribosomal RNA", at positions 28 to 507 of the family's 1533-position model. The record is from RNAcentral.